Molecule: ribosomal RNA, 253 nt
Filed under: uncultured bacterium
Lineage: Bacteria
Description: partial 16S ribosomal RNA
Rfam family: Bacterial small subunit ribosomal RNA
Source: RNAcentral
UACAGAGGUCCCGAGCGUUGUUCGGAUUCAUUGGGCGUAAAGGGUGCGUAGGCGGCGGGGUAAGUCUGAUGUGAAAUCCUGGGGCUCAACCCUGGAACUGCAUUGGAUACUGCCUUGCUAGAGAACUGGAGAGGAGACUGGAAUUUACGGUGUAGCAGUGAAAUGCGUAGAGAUCGUAAGGAAGACCAGUGGCGAAGGCGGGUCUCUGGACAGUUCCUGACACUGAGGCACGAAGGCCAGGGGAGCAAACGGG